Molecule: ribosomal RNA, 429 nt
Filed under: Chloroflexota bacterium
Lineage: Bacteria; Bacillati; Chloroflexota
Description: Chloroflexi bacterium partial 16S ribosomal RNA
Rfam family: Bacterial small subunit ribosomal RNA
Source: RNAcentral
UGGGGAAUAUUGCACAAUGGGCGCAAGCCUGAUGCAGCCAUGCCGCGUGUAUGAAGAAGGCCUUCGGGUUGUAAAGUACUUUCAGCGGGGAGGAAGGCGUUAAGGUUAAUAACCUUGGCGAUUGACGUUACCCGCAGAAGAAGCACCGGCUAACUCCGUGCCAGCAGCCGCGGUAAUACGGAGGGUGCAAGCGUUAAUCGGAAUUACUGGGCGUAAAGCGCACGCAGGCGGUCUGUCAAGUCGGAUGUGAAAUCCCCGGGCUCAACCUGGGAAAUGCAUUCGAAAAUGGCAGGAUAGAGGCUUGUAGAGGGGGGUAGAAUUCCAGGUGUAGCGGUGAAAUGCGUAGAGAUCUGGAGGAAUACCGGUGGCGAAGGCGGCCCCCUGGAAAAAGACUGACGCUCAGGUGCGAAAGCGUGGGGAGCAAACAGG